This 857-nucleotide ribosomal RNA is filed under the name uncultured Lactobacillales bacterium. Its description in RNAcentral is "bacterial SSU rRNA". It matches the Rfam family "Bacterial small subunit ribosomal RNA", at positions 61 to 874 of the family's 1533-position model. The record is from RNAcentral. Lineage: Bacteria; Bacillati; Bacillota; Bacilli; Lactobacillales.
GUCGUACGCAUCUUGGCUAUUGAAGGUUGGUGCUUGCAUCAACUAGAUUUAACAUUAAGAUGAGUGGCGAACUGGUGAGUAACACGUGGGUAACCUGCCUCGAAGCAGGGGAUAACAUUUGGAAACAAGUGCUAAUACCGUAUAACAACUCAAACCACAUGGUUUGAGUUUGAAAGAUGGUUUCGGCUAUCACUUCGAGAUGGACCCGCGGCGUAUUAGCUAGUUGGUAAGGUAAUGGCUUACCAAGGCGAUGAUACGUAGCCGACCUGAGAGGGUAAUCGGCCACAUUGGGACUGAGACACGGCCCAAACUCCUACGGGAGGCAGCAGUAGGGAAUCUUCCACAAUGGACGCAAGUCUGAUGGAGCAAUGCCGCGUGAGUGAAGAAGGGUUUCGGCUCGUAAAACUCUGUUGUUGGAGAAGAACAGGUGUUAGAGUAACUGUUAACAUCUUGACGGUAUCCAACCAGAAAGCCACGGCUAACUACGUGCCAGCAGCCGCGGUAAUACGUAGGUGGCAAGCGUUGUCCGGAUUUAUUGGGCGUAAAGAGAGCGCAGGCGGUUUUUUAAGUCUGAUGUGAAAGCCUUCGGCUUAACCGGAGAAGUGCAUCGGAAACUGGAAGACUUGAGUGCAGAAAAGGACAGUGGAACUCCAUGUGUAGCGGUGAAAUGCGUAGAUAUAUGGAAGAACACCAGUGGCGCAGGCGGCUGUCUGGUCUGUAACUGACGCUGAGGCUCGAAAGCAUGGGUAGCAAACAGGAUUAGAUACCCUGGUAGUCCAUGCCGUAAACGAUGAGUGCUAAGUGUUGGAGGGUUUCCGCCCUUCAGUGCUGCAGCUAACGCAUUAAGCACUCCGCCU